Molecule: small RNA, 140 nt
Filed under: Virgibacillus pantothenticus
Lineage: Bacteria; Bacillati; Bacillota; Bacilli; Caryophanales; Bacillaceae
Description: Listeria sRNA rli38
Rfam family: Listeria sRNA rli38
Source: Rfam by way of RNAcentral
UUAAUGUUGGAAUAAGACUACAACUUAAUUUGAAGAGAGAACUCCUAUUUAACAGCAUUUGUCCUAAGCUGAAAUGGACAAAAUAAGAUAGUUCCCUACCAAAAACCCUACCAAGAAUAAUUUUUGGUAGGGAAUUUUGU